AAUCUUGCUCAAUGGGCGAAAGCCUGACGCAGCCAUGCCGCGUGAAUGAUGAAGGUCUUAGGAUUGUAAAAUUCUUUCACCGGCGACGAUAAUGACGUUACCCGGAGACGAACCCCCGGCUAACUUCGUGCCAGCAGCCGCGGUAAUACGAAGGGGGCUAGCGUUGCUCGGAAUUACUGGGCGCAAAGGGCGCGUAGGCGGAUCGUUAAGUCAGGGGUGAAAUCCCGGGGCUCAACCUCGGAACUGCCCUUGAUACUGGCGAUCUUGAGUAUGAGAGAGGUAUGUGGAGCUCCGAGUGUAGAGGUGAAAUUCGUAGAUAUUCGGAAGAACACCAGUGGCGAAGGCGACAUACUGGCUCAUUACUGACGCUGAGGCGCGAAAGCGUGGGGAGCAAACA
Molecule: ribosomal RNA, 397 nt
Filed under: uncultured bacterium
Lineage: Bacteria
Description: partial 16S ribosomal RNA
Rfam family: Bacterial small subunit ribosomal RNA
Source: RNAcentral